AAAUCCUUGGAAAAAAGAGAAAUGGUCUGGUGUUCAUCGAACACUGCACCCAUUUCCUAUUUUUCAGGCGGAUUU
RNAcentral lists this non-coding RNA (75 nucleotides) under unclassified sequences. The record is from RNAcentral.